Long non-coding RNA from Sander lucioperca (pikeperch), 1761 nucleotides. The record is from Ensembl. NCBI's taxonomy places the organism in Eukaryota, Metazoa, Chordata, Actinopteri, Perciformes, Percidae.
AUAUUUCCUGAUUCUUUGUGUAGAUAAAAAAAAAUCAGUUACAAGUUUAAGACUUAAAACAUUUAAAGGUUAGGUAUUGGGUUUAGUUUCGCCUCUAUCCUGGGCCAGCUGUUUCAAAAGUUAAUAUUAUUAGUGGUCGUAUUGUAGUCAUUUGGAAUAGAAUGGUAAAGCAUUUGUUUUAUUACACAUAUGUUCACAAAAUGUAUUUUUGAUGAUAAUGAUGAUCUGAUACAGUAUGUCAUACAUGAAGUACAUAAAUGGAGUAACAGUCAGUACUCACUGAAUGACUUUAUAAUAUGUGGUAUUUUGAUCGUAUGGUGUGUCUACUGUUUUACAGAGCCCAGUGCUGUGACUCCUGUGUUUGUGCAGAAGAUAGAGGAUGUCCUUCUGAAUGUCACAAUAGCUGAUGUUCCUGAAGAAGAUGUUGUUUUCUGUAGAUUCAAUAAAAUAGUUGAUUUAGUACGAUUUUUACUUGGUAUCGGACCAAAAGUCACUGAUGAUUACUCUGGAAGGAUUGAGUUGCUUGAGAAAUACUCAAGAUCACAGUCCAAGGUUAGUUUGUAAACAUUUCAGACACUGAUGGAGAGUUUCUGCUGCCAUGUUUCUAAAACCUCUCCACCUGCCUCUCCCCCCUCAGAUCCAGUGUCUCCAGUUAAUCUGUCAGUGGACUCUGUGUCUAACAGCUCAGACUGGUGUAACCUGACAGUGAGCUGCAGAGCACAGGACUCUCACAUUAACAGCACCUUUAGAUGUGACACCCACACCUGCAGUCAGGAGGGAGGAGAGAGACCACAGGUCACACCCUCUGCUGCUGCUCUCCAUGUCUACCUGUCCAAUGGCUCCAUCAUCUGUAACCAUAGCAACCAGGUCAGCUGGACCAAGGACAUGAAAACAAUAAAAAAUGUCUGCCGACAUGCUGUGUUCUCUCGGCGGCCCGGCCGACUCCUGCCUCCAGUGUUCUGUCGGCGGCCCGGCCGACUCAUGUGCCAGUUGCCUUGUUGCCGGACCCUGUUCCAGCUGACCCGUCGCCCGUCUCCGGCCUAGCUGUCCCCAGCCCAGCUGACCCUUCGUCUGGCUCCACCCUAGCGGACCCAUCGCCUGGCUCCAGCCCAGCUGCCCCUUCGCCUGCUCGGCCUACAGAGGGACUCAGUCAUGAUUUGGGGUUUUCUGUUAGUUUUCCAUUUCCCUGUUUUAUUUUGUAGUCUCUCUGUUCUUCCAUGUGUUGUCUUGUUUUAGCCUACUUUAUUCUAUUCUACUUUCCCGCCUGUGUGAUUACCUGUCCCCGCCCCUAUGUGUUGCACCUGCUGUGUCUCAUUCAUUGUCUCCCCUGUCUUGUGUAUUUAAGUUCAGUCUUUUCUUUACUCCUGUGCAAGAUUAUCUGUUUCCAUGUGUUCGGCCUUCGAGCGUUUUUCUCUGUGUCCUGUAUUUCUGAGUUCCUGUUUUCUCUUGGAUUUUGACCAUUGCCUGUUUUUUCGGAUUUCCCUUUGCCUGUCGUUUACUAGACACUGUUGCUUGUGAGUUUGUAUUAGCUUGCUAAUAAAAUCAUUGUAUCUUACUCACCUGAGUCAUGCAUUUGUGGGUCCAUUCUCCGGUGUGUGUGAUACAGUGUGGUUGCUAAGUGCUUUGGGGUCCUUCUGUAAGUAUUUUGAGGUAGGUACAAUAGUUCUGGAGAAAGCUUCAAGCAGCAAAACCACAGGUCAAGCAAUCGGCCCGUUCUAAACAGGCAUAUUUUGAACACGCACUGUACUAGUAAAUAUUAAC